CUGCCCAGUGACCAAGAGUUAAACGGCCGCGGUAUCUUAACCGUGCUAAGGUAGCGUAAUCACUUGUCUUUUAAAUGAAGACCUGUAUGAAAGGCAUUACGAGGGCCCAACUGUCUCCUACUUCAUGUCAGUGAAAUUGAUCUGUCCGUGCAGAAGCGGACAUAUUUACAUAAGACGAGAAGACCCUGUGGAGCUUAAGAUAUAAAAUUAAUCGCGCCUAGAAGCUAACAAGCCCAAGGGUCCUAAACAUCAAACAAGCAUAGCGACCAUAAUUACACCUAUCUUCGGUUGGGGCGACCAUGGGGGAUAAAAAAGCCUCCAAGAAGAAGCAGGGAGUCGACUACACAACUCCUAAGAACCAAGAGCCACACCUCUAAGUAACAGAAAAUUCUGACUAAUAAUGACCCAGGCCAAGCCUGAUUAACGAACCAAGUUACCCCAGGGAUAACAGCGCAAUCCUUUCCCAGAGCCCAUAUCGCCGAA
RNAcentral lists this ribosomal RNA (483 nucleotides) under Notopterus notopterus (bronze featherback). Its description in RNAcentral is "partial 16S rRNA". It matches the Rfam family "Bacterial large subunit ribosomal RNA", at positions 1859 to 2512 of the family's 2925-position model. The record is from RNAcentral. Lineage: Eukaryota; Metazoa; Chordata; Actinopteri; Osteoglossiformes; Notopteridae.